RNAcentral lists this ribosomal RNA (516 nucleotides) under uncultured bacterium. RNAcentral's name for it is "bacterial SSU rRNA". It matches the Rfam family "Bacterial small subunit ribosomal RNA", at positions 29 to 526 of the family's 1533-position model. The record is from RNAcentral.
AACGAACGUUGGCGGCGUGGCUUAGGCAUGCAAGUCGAACGAGAAAGUUUCCUUCGGGGAGCGAGUAUAGUGGCAAAAGGGUGAGUAAUGAUUAGUUAACCUACCCCUAAAACUGGGAUAACUACCCGAAAGGGUUGCUAAUACCGGAUGGUCUAUGAGAGAUGCAUAUCUUUUAUAGUAAAGGCGCUCGCAAGGGUGUCGAUUAGGGAGGGGAUUAAUUCCUAUUAGCUAGUUGGUGAGGUAAUGGCUCUACCAAGGCAUUGAUGGGUAACCGAUCUGAGAGGAUGACCGGUCACACUGGGACUGAGACACUGCCCAGACUCCUACGGGAGGCUGCAGUCGCGAAUAUUCCGCAAUGGACGCAAGUCUGACGGAGCGACGCCGCGUGUGGGAUGAAGGCCUUAGGGUUGUAAACCACUGUCACACUUUAAGAAAUCAAUUAGGGUAACUCCUAGUUGUUGACAAAGGAGUGGAAGGAAGUCACGGCUAACUACGUGCCAGCAGCCGCGGUAAUGU